UGCAGCGACGCCGCGUGAGCGAUGAAGGCCUUCGGGUUGUAAAGCUCUUUCGGCGGGGACGAUAAUGACGGUACCUGUAGAAGAAGCUGCGGCUAACUACGUGCCAGCAGCCGCGGUAAUACGUAGGGGGCAAGCGUUGUUCGGAAUUACUGGGCGUAAAGGGUGCGUAGGCGGUUUUCUAAGUUUGGUGUGAAAUCUCCCGGCUCAACUGGGAGGGUGCGCCGAAAACUGUGGGGCUUGAGUGUGGGAGAGGAAAGUGGAAUUCCUGGUGUAGCGGUGAAAUGCGUAUAUAUCAGGAGGAACACCUGUGGUGUAAACGGCUUUCUGGACCAUUACUGACGCUGAGGCACGAAAGCGUGGGUAGCAAACAGGAUUAGAUACCCUGGUAGUCCACGCCCUAAACGAUGCAUAUUUGGUGUGGGCC
This 424-nucleotide ribosomal RNA is filed under the name uncultured Acidobacteriota bacterium. Its description in RNAcentral is "bacterial SSU rRNA". It matches the Rfam family "Bacterial small subunit ribosomal RNA", at positions 387 to 828 of the family's 1533-position model. Lineage: Bacteria; Pseudomonadati; Acidobacteriota. The record is from RNAcentral.